RNAcentral lists this ribosomal RNA (498 nucleotides) under uncultured bacterium. RNAcentral's name for it is "partial 16S ribosomal RNA". It matches the Rfam family "Bacterial small subunit ribosomal RNA", at positions 30 to 523 of the family's 1533-position model. The record is from RNAcentral.
AUUGAACGCUGGCGGCAUACCUUACACAUGCAAGUCGAACGGUAACAGGUCUUCGGAUGCUGACGAGUGGCGAACGGGUGAGUAAUACAUCGGAACGUGCCUAGUAGUGGGGGAUAACUACUCGAAAGAGUGGCUAAUACCGCAUGAGAUCUACGGAUGAAAGCAGGGGAUCGCAAGACCUUGUGCUACUAGAGCGGCCGAUGGCAGAUUAGGUAGUUGGUGGGAUAAAAGCUUACCAAGCCGACGAUCCGUAGCUGGUCUGAGAGGACGAUCAGCCACACUGGGACUGAGACACGGCCCAGACUCCUACGGGAGGCAGCAGUGGGGAAUUUUGGACAAUGGGCGAAAGCCUGAUCCAGCAAUGCCGCGUGCAGGAUGAAGGCCUUCGGGUUGUAAACUGCUUUUGUACGGAACGAAAAGGCCCGGGUUAAUACCCUGGGGUCAUGACGGUACCGUAAGAAUAAGCACCGGCUAACUACGUGCCAGCCGCCGCGGUAA